GGCAUCUCUAUCUCCAUUUACUUGCAUUUGCCAAAAAAAAAAAUUUGCAGUACAGUAACAACUUCUUUAUUCUAAAGAAAAAAAAAUAAAAAGUAAAUAAUACUUUCGUUUUAAAGUUGAUGAAUAGUUAGCUUAUAAAUGCAACCAAAAGAAGUGUCUGCUUUUUCUGGGCCCAGAAGUAGAAAUCCAGAAACUUUCAACCAGACAAAAAUAUGCUUGAUUUUUGCUCAAUGGCCACUCCAUCAAUUAAUCAAAUGGGAUGAUUUGAGUAUACUCGAGUUUAAUCUAAUUAUGAAGCAAUCCUGAAAUAGAAACAACAGUAACAUUAAGCUAAUUUUAGCAGAUUGAGGUUACUAAUCUUU
This 362-nucleotide unclassified non-coding RNA is filed under the name Hevea brasiliensis (rubber tree). The record is from RNAcentral. Lineage: Eukaryota; Viridiplantae; Streptophyta; Magnoliopsida; Malpighiales; Euphorbiaceae.